RNAcentral lists this ribosomal RNA (254 nucleotides) under uncultured bacterium. RNAcentral's name for it is "partial 16S ribosomal RNA". It matches the Rfam family "Bacterial small subunit ribosomal RNA", at positions 524 to 776 of the family's 1533-position model. The record is from RNAcentral.
UACGUAGGGGGCGAGCGUUGUCCGGAUUUAUUGGGCGUAAAGAGCUCGUAGGCGGUUCGGCAAGUCAGAUGUAAAAACUCCAGGCUCAACUUGGAGAGGCCAUCUGAUACUGCCGUGACUUGAGUUCGGUAGGGGAGACUGGAAUUCCUGGUGUAGCGGUGAAAUGCGCAGAUAUCAGGAGGAACACCGGUGGCGAAGGCGGGUCUCUGGGCCGAUACUGACGCUGAGGAGCGAAAGCGUGGGGAGCGAACAGG